Long non-coding RNA from Betta splendens (Siamese fighting fish), 1744 nucleotides. The record is from Ensembl. NCBI's taxonomy places the organism in Eukaryota, Metazoa, Chordata, Actinopteri, Anabantiformes, Osphronemidae.
AUGGACAAAUAUCGACCAAAGAGACCAACUACCCUGGCUCUGUUUCCACAGCUGCCACAAGCCGGCACCCAGGACUCCAUCAACAACAACUCUUUGGGCAAGAAGGACAGUUGGAAGGAGGCCCACUCCUCCUCCCCACACAUAACAGGGGAUCUAGCUGCAGUGGACGUCCAACCCAAAGUUGGGGACAAAGUCCAGCACAGCACCCGCCGUCCAGCCCCCAAACCACCCACAGCCAAUGGAGCCAAAGGCAGAGGCAGCGCUCAGACGGCGCCCACCGCCGCAGACAGUCGCACCCGAGCACUGGACAGACAUGUGCCGGCGAUCACACACACACAGGCUUCCAGCACACCGCGGAGUCAGCGACAAGGAGGAGGAGGAGGAGGGGGAGGAGGAAGAGGCCUGGGUAAAGGAGCAACGGCAAUGAGAGACAGGAACCUGGGAGAGGUCAAAGGAAAGAAUGGAGUGACCGCAGGGAAGGAGGAGAGACGAGGAGGACGACUGUGUGAGUCCAGGGAGAGAGAGAGAGACGCGCCUCAGAGGCCGAGAGAAGCCAACGGGCUGAAAAGCCGGGGGGGCGACAGGAAAGGAAAAGUGGGCGCCAAAGCAGGGAACAGAGGUGGAUUCAAGCAAAACAACUUAAUGUCUAGCCACGAGGUUUAUCUGACGGCCAUGGUGGUUCCACGCACGCCCGUGGCACCGAGGACCCAGGACCAGGCCCCAGACCCAGGCCAAAAUCACGACGGGACCCAGGACAACCCUCCUGCCCUUUCUAGGUCAAGCAGCGAGGGGGGGUCGAACAGAAUGUCCCUCAGCUCUGACACAGAAGGGCCCCCACCAGGACCCCUUCACCCAUCUCUGUCCCACCGAAUCAACCCGGACAUCAGCGAAGAGGAGGGAGAGGUGGACAACGGGCCGACCCACUGCCCCCCGGCGGUGGACGGCACCGAGCCGGAGGUGGACCCGGGGGGGGGCGGGGACCCGACAGCGGAGGCGGACGGCACAAACUCUAUCACUCAGGGAGAUUCUGUAGCUGCUGAGACUGUACCAAAAAGCGAACCCACAGCGGGCUUAGAGUAUGACUCUGUCAAAUACACUCUGGUGGUGGAUGAACACGCUCAGCUGGAGCUGGUCAGCCUCAAGGACUGCUUGAACGGUUAUGAGCACAACGGGGACAGCGAUGCAGAAACAGUGUAUCAGUCGGCCAAUGAGGAGGAAGAUCCAGAGUACGAGGAGGAGAGGAAGAGGAGGGAGCAGAUCAGGAAGCAAGGUAAAGCGUCCAUGAACGAAGGUGGUGCAUGUGUUACGCAAUAAGAAUGAUGAGCUAAAGUUGAAGUCACAGUGAGACGAACAGAAAGGGUAAAAACUUCUACUGCUGGGUAAACGCAUGUAGGGAGUGAGGUGGAACCCCCAGAGAGGCCUGAGCUCCCUAUGCCAGCUGUCUAAACACAUAAUGGACUCAACCAGCGACACUUGACAGCUUCCAGUUUGCACUGAGCAGGUGGGACGUACGUCCCCUUCCCCUUUACGGGGCUCCAGAACCUCCUCAGCUGUCUAUGCUGCCGAACACUCAGAUGGCACCAGCACAGAGUCACAGUGCACGUGACUCUGUGCUGGCUAGAACAAUGACUGCGGCCUGGACCUGGUGCUUGUUACGGACAAGCUGUGACUGGCACAGAGGUCCAUUAACAGAACCAGGUCCAUACAGGUCUCCCCAUCACACGUGUCCAGGUACCAGUGUGAG